GACGAACGCUGGCGGCGUGCUUAACACAUGCAAGUCGAACGGAAAGGCCCCUUUGGGGGUACUCGAGUGGCGAACGGGUGAGUAACACGUGAGUAACCUGCCCUUGACUUCGGGAUAACUUCAGGAAACUGGGGCUAAUACCGGAUAGGAAUCCUUGCUGCAUGGUGGGGGUUGGAAAGCUUCGGCGGUUUUCGAUGGACUCGCGGCUUAUCAGCUUGUUGGUGGGGUAGUGGCUUACCAAGGCUUUGACGGGUAGCCGGCCUGAGAGGGCGACCGGCCACAUUGGGACUGAGAUACGGCCCAGACGCCUACGGGAGGCAGCAGUGGGGAAUAUUGCACAAUGGGCGGAAGCCUGAUGCAGCAACGCCGCGUGCGGGAUGACGGCCUUCGGGUUGUAAACCGCGUUCAGCAGGGGCGAAGCUUGUGGUGACGGUACCUGCAGAAGAAGCACCGGCUAACUACGUG
Molecule: ribosomal RNA, 465 nt
Filed under: uncultured bacterium
Lineage: Bacteria
Description: partial 16S ribosomal RNA
Rfam family: Bacterial small subunit ribosomal RNA
Source: RNAcentral